ACGGGAGGCAGCAGUGGGGAAUAUUGCACAAUGGGGGAAACCCUGAUGCAGCAACGCCGCGUAAGUGAAGAAGUAUUUCGGUAUGUAAAGCUCUAUCAGCAGGGAAGAUAAUGACGGUACCUGACUAGGAAGCACCGGCUAAAUACGUGCCAGCAGCCGCGGUAAUACGUAUGGUGCAAGCGUUAUCCGGAUUUACUGGGUGUAAAGGGUGCGUAGGUGGCAUGGUAAGUCAGAUGUGAAAUACCGGGGCUCAACCCCGGGGCUGCAUUUGAAACUGCCAGGCUGGAGUACAGGAGAGGCAAGCGGAAUUCCUAGUGUAGCGGUGAAAUGCGUAGAUAUUAGGAGGAACACCAGUGGCGAAGGCGGCUUGCUGGACUGUUACUGACACUGAGGCACGAAAGCGUGGGGAGCAAACAGGAUUAGAUACCCUGGUA
RNAcentral lists this ribosomal RNA (434 nucleotides) under uncultured Lachnospiraceae bacterium. Its description in RNAcentral is "bacterial SSU rRNA". It matches the Rfam family "Bacterial small subunit ribosomal RNA", at positions 341 to 792 of the family's 1533-position model. The record is from RNAcentral. Lineage: Bacteria; Bacillati; Bacillota; Clostridia; Lachnospirales; Lachnospiraceae.